Molecule: ribosomal RNA, 499 nt
Filed under: uncultured bacterium
Lineage: Bacteria
Description: bacterial SSU rRNA
Rfam family: Bacterial small subunit ribosomal RNA
Source: RNAcentral
AACGAACGCUGGUGGCGUGCUUAAUACAUGCAAGUCGAACGAGAAAGUCUUUCGGGAUGAGUAAAGUAGGCGCACGGGUGAGUAACACGUAGGUGACCUACCUCGUAGUUGGGGAUAACAGCGGGAAACCGCUGCUAAUACCGGAUAUGUUGUGUGACCUUAGAAAAGCGCAACAAAGAUUGCCUCUAUUUAUAAGCAAUUGCUAUGAGAUGGGCCUGCGCGGCAUUAGCUAGUUGGUGAGGUAAUGGCUCACCAAGGCAACGAUGCCUAGCUGGUCUGAGAGGAUGAUCAGCCACACUGGGACUGAGAUACGGCCCAGACUCCUACGGGAGGCAGCAGUCGAGAGGCUUCGGCAAUGGGGGAAACCCUGACCGAGCGACGCCGCGUGAGGGAUGAAGGCCCUUGGGUUGUAAACCUCUUUUGUUCGGGAAGAAGUGCGAUCAGGUGAAUAAUCUGGUCGUUUGACGGUACCGGACGAAUAAGCUCCGGCUAACUCCGU